RNAcentral lists this ribosomal RNA (301 nucleotides) under uncultured bacterium. RNAcentral describes it as "partial 16S ribosomal RNA". It matches the Rfam family "Bacterial small subunit ribosomal RNA", at positions 509 to 808 of the family's 1533-position model. The record is from RNAcentral.
CAGCCGCCGCGGUAAUACAGAGGAUGCAAGCGUUAUCCGGAAUGAUUGGGCGUAAGUGUCUAUAGGUGGCUUUUCAAGUCCGCCGUCAAAUCCCAGGGCUCAACCGUGGACAGGCGGUGGAAACUACCAAGCUGGAGUACGGUAGGGGCAGAGGGAAUUUCCGAUGGAGCGGUGAAAUGCGUUGAGAUCGGAAGGAACACCAACGGAGAAAGCACUCUGCUGGGCCGACACUGACACUGAGAGACGAAAUCUAGGGGAGCAAAUGGGAUUAGAUACCCCAGUAGUCCCUGUCUCUUAUACC